CCUGCUAUGGGAUUAGAUUUGUGCCAAUAGGAUCAAGAAAAACACUUUGGAGAGCAAACAAAUUUUAAGACAUUGAGAGAAAAAACAUUGGUUUCAAAAGAAAAACUUACGAUCUGAAUCAGAUUCUUAAAAUGAUCAAGAAAAACACUUUGACGGUCAAACAAAAAUUAAGAAAUUGACAGAACAAAAAUAUUGACUAAAGGAAAAAAAACAUAUUUCAAAAGUAAAACUUACUAUCUGAAUCAACUUCUUAAAAUGAGUAACAAAGUAUGUUUCCUUUUUCUGUUUGCCUCUAUGUGUUUUUGUUAUCAAUUUCCUUAGUUUUGUUCUCGCUGCUCAGAGCUUUGCUCUCACUACCAGAUUUGCACUUACACUGUCUGGCUUUCUCCUUUGCAAUCCCUGAGUUUUUGGUUGCAAUUCUGACACAACCCUUUCGGGUGGGCGGGACUUCUGAGAAGUCCUCUCCCAUAGGACAGUGGUUUCUCUUGAGUGACAGUUCAGUGACCUGGAAGUGAUGUAGCCUCCAAGACAUUUUUUUCCCACCUGGUCAACAACAUGAAUUUUGAGCCCCAAACAGGUUAUUUCUGCUGUCUGUGGUGUCUACUGAGGAUCUAAAGAACCUGUGGAACAUCAGAGACUUUGCAGCUACUGGAGCUAACCUGUGUACUGCUAACUUGCUACAGAGGAAGCAGCAGAAAGCUGAGCUAACAGGCUGUUUUGCAGGUAAUCCUCAGGUGUCAGCAGGAGGAGGUGACUACCUGCACAACAGAGCACUCUGGUUCUGAGCCAGUUGCACCUUUGUGCAGCUCUUUGGGGAGACGAUGCUCAGCAGACACAUGCCUCCAUGUGGUCAGGUGGUGUUGGUGUGAUCUGGGAGGGCACACUCAUGUCGUCAUCUCCUUGUGCCGUCUCCAGGAUCCUGAUGGGAGUUCUCUGUGCCUAUAAAGCAGGAGUAUUUACUUCUGGGCCUGGAGGGCCGGUAUCCAGCACGUUUUAGUUUUAACUCUGUUUCAGUACACCUGAUUUCAGUCAGCAGAUAAUUAACAGGCUUCUGCAGAGCUGCUGCACAGGUAAUUCAACCACUGAUUCAAGUGUGUUGGAGCAGGGAAACAACUAAAACGUGCUGGAUACCAGCCAUCCAGGACUAGAAUUGAAUACCCCUGCUAUAAAGCCUUCCUCCCUCCUCCGGACUUUAAACAUUAGUGUUUUAUUACGGUUUACCUGAUUUAGUAAAUAAAUCUCAAUUUAUAAA
Nothobranchius furzeri (turquoise killifish) is the source of this 1252-nucleotide non-coding RNA. The record is from RefSeq and is a predicted model, not a curated record. Lineage: Eukaryota; Metazoa; Chordata; Actinopteri; Cyprinodontiformes; Nothobranchiidae.